AUGAUGAACAUUCAUAAAAGCCACUGGACUUUCUGUAGGAAGUAUGGCAAGCACCAAUCCCACAAAGUGACACAGUGCAAGAAGGGCAAGGAUUCUCUGUAUGCCCAGGGAAAGCAGUGUUAUGACAGGAAGCAGAGUGGCUAUGAUGGGCAGACUAAGCUGAUUUUCCAGAAAAGGCUAAACCACAAAGAAGAUUGUGCUGAGACAAGAGUGUAUUGAGUCCAACUGCAGAUCUCAGCGAAUGCUGGCUAUUAAAGAGAACUGGAAGGAGCUAAAACAAGAAAGGGCCAAGUGAUUCAGUUCUGA
RNAcentral lists this long non-coding RNA (306 nucleotides) under Homo sapiens (human). RNAcentral's name for it is "non-protein coding lnc-EFCAB3-2:1". Lineage: Eukaryota; Metazoa; Chordata; Mammalia; Primates; Hominidae. The record is from RNAcentral.